Molecule: ribosomal RNA, 408 nt
Filed under: uncultured bacterium
Lineage: Bacteria
Description: partial 16S ribosomal RNA
Rfam family: Bacterial small subunit ribosomal RNA
Source: RNAcentral
GACGAACGCUGGCGGCGUGCCUAACACAUGCAAGUCGAACGAAGUGGCGAACGGGUGAGUAACGCGUAAUCAACCUGCUCUUCUGCGGGGGAUAACAGUUGGAAACGACUGCUAAUACCGCAUAUGGAAGGAGGGGAUGGUGGCUGAUUGGCUGGUUGGAGGGGUAAUGGCCAACCAAGGCGAUGAUCAGUAGGCGGGCUGGGGGGGUGGACGGCCACAAUGGGAAUGGGGCACGGCCCAGACUCCUAAGGGGGGCAGCAAGGGGGGAUCUUCCGCAAUGGACGGAAGUCUGGCGGAGCAAAGCCGCGUGAGUGAUGACGGCCUUCGGGUUGUAAAGCUCUGUUAAUCGGGAAGCGGUACCGGAAUAGAAAGCCACGGCUAACUACGUGCCAGCAGCCGCGGUAAUUC